GAUGAACGCUGGCGGCGUGCCUAAUACAUGCAAGUCGAGCGGCAGCACGGUCUUCGGACUGGUGGCGAGCGGCGGACGGCUGAGUAACGCGUAGGAACAUGCCCCAAAGUGAGGAAUAACUGCCCGAAAGGGUGGCUAAUGCCGCAUGUGGUCUUCGGACUAAAGCUUUAUGCGCUUUGGGAGUGGCCUGCGUCCGAUUAGCUUGUUGGUGAGGUAAUGGCUCACCAAGGCGACGAUCGGUAGCUGGUCUGAGAGGAUGAUCAGCCAGACUGGAACUGAGAACGGUCCAGACUCCUACGGGAGGCAGCAGUAGGGAAUUUUCCACAAUGGGCGAGAGCCUGAUGGAGCAACGCCGCGUGCAGGAUGAAUGCCUUCGGGUUGUAAACUGCUUUUAUGUGCGAAGAAUUUGACUGUAACACAUGAAUAAGGAUCGGCUAACUACGUGCCAGCAGCCGCGGUAA
This 461-nucleotide ribosomal RNA is filed under the name uncultured bacterium. Its description in RNAcentral is "partial 16S ribosomal RNA". It matches the Rfam family "Bacterial small subunit ribosomal RNA", at positions 28 to 523 of the family's 1533-position model. The record is from RNAcentral.